GUGGUGCCAGGGAUUGAACCCAGUGCCUCACACAUGCUAGGAAAGUGCUCUACCGCUGAGCCACAACCCCAGCCCCCCCCCCCAGCCCUUUUUAUUUUUAAUUUUUUGAGACAGGGGUCUCACUAGAUUGCUUGCAGUCUUGCUAAGUUGCUGAGGCUGGCUUCAAACCUGUGAUCUUCAUGCUUCAGCCUACCAAACCACUGGGAUUACAGGCAAGGCCCACCAUGCCUAGCUUACAACUUCUAAUCUACAUGUCCACUUGGUUCCAAAAGGCAUCACAAAUUUAACAUGCCCUAAGUCAAAUAUACACUAUUCUUCCUAACAAACUUAAUACUUUCGUAGUCUUCCCUAUUUCCCAGUUUUAGUACAUGGAAAUUCUGUUCUUCCAGUUCCUGAAACCAAAAAUGCUGGAAUCAUUCUUGAGUUCUCUCUGUCUCUCACAUCCCCCAACUAUUGAAUCAAGAAAAAUAAUUCUGACUGUGUCUUCAAAAUUUGAUGACUUCUCACCACCUCCACCAUCACACUUCUCCAAUUCUUAUCUAACAGUAGCCUCCUAACUCUCAUCUGGCUUAUUGUAGUAGCCUCUUGCCAAAUCCUAUGUGAAAGGCUCAAUAAUAUAAGGACUAAGAAAUGACCAAUGGAUUUGGCAAUAUGGAGACCACUGGUAACCUUGACAAGAUUGCUUUCACUGGAGCGCUAACCUGGAAAGAACUGGAUCCUAACAGAUCUGGAUUGCACUCUAUAGUGGACUCCUUUAUGCUCCCUCUCUUUCUUGACCCUGGAAUAAAUCACCAUUAAAAUUCCCAUUUCCAAGCUUUUGUAUUUGCCUGUUCCUUCUGACGUGGCCCACCUUCCUCCAGAUAGUCACAUCUACGUCUCUCCCCUGGAUUCAGGUACCUGUGAAAAAGAGCUUCUGGGAGAGUUCUUUUAUCAAGCUAUUUAAAAUAAGAUCCCUUACCCUCUAUUUUGCUUCUCAGUGCUUGUCACUAUCUGAAUGUAUCUGUUUACUAGAUGUCUCCCCAUUCCCUACACAUUCUAGAAUGUAAGCUCCAUGGGGGCAGGGC
RNAcentral lists this long non-coding RNA (1064 nucleotides) under Marmota monax (woodchuck). The record is from RNAcentral. Lineage: Eukaryota; Metazoa; Chordata; Mammalia; Rodentia; Sciuridae.